GCUGGGUGUAGUGGUGCGUGCCUGUAGUCCCAGCUACUUGGGAGGCUGAGGUGGGAGGAUCGCUUGAGUCCAGGAGUUCUGGGCUGUAAUGCGCUAUGCCGGUCGGGUGUCUGCACUAAGUUCGGCAUCAAUAUGGUGACCUCCCGGGAGCGGGGGACCACUGGGUUGCCUAAGGAGGGGUGCACCGGCCCAGGUCGGAAACGGAACAGGUCAAAACUCCCGUGCUGAUCAGUAGUGGGAUCACGCCUGUAAAUAGCCACUGUACUCCAGCCUAGGCAACAUAGCGAGACCCCUGUCUCU
This 300-nucleotide signal recognition particle RNA is filed under the name Cebus imitator (Panamanian white-faced capuchin). RNAcentral's name for it is "Metazoan signal recognition particle RNA (ENSCCAG00000014607.1)". It matches the Rfam family "Metazoan signal recognition particle RNA". Rfam says of the family: The signal recognition particle (SRP) is a universally conserved ribonucleoprotein. It is involved in the co-translational targeting of proteins to membranes. The eukaryotic SRP consists of a 300-nucleotide 7S RNA and six proteins: SRPs 72, 68, 54, 19, 14, and 9. The record is from Rfam by way of RNAcentral. Lineage: Eukaryota; Metazoa; Chordata; Mammalia; Primates; Cebidae.